CCUACGGGUGGCAGCAGUGAGGAAUAUUGGUCAAUGGACGAGAGUCUGAACCAGCCAAGUAGCGUGAAGGAUGACUGCCCUAUGGGUUGUAAACUUCUUUUAUAAAGGAAUAAAACGAGGCACGUGUGCCUUUUUGCAUGUACUUUAUGAAUAAGGAUCGGCUAACUCCGUGCCAGCCGCCGCGGUAAUACGGAGGAUCCGAGCGUUAUCCGGAUUUAUUGGGUUUAAAGGGAGCGUAGAUGGGUUGUUAAGUCAGUUGUGAAAGUUUGCGGCUCAACCGUAAAAUUGCAAUUGAUACUGGCAGUCUUGAGUACAGUUGAGGUAAGCGGAAUUCGUGGUGUAGCGGUGAAAUGCGUAGAUAUCACGAAGAACCCCGAUUGCGAAGGCAGCUUACUAGACUGUGACUGACACUGAUGCUCGAAAGUGUGGGUAUCAAACAGGAUUAGAUACCCGGGUAGUC
Molecule: ribosomal RNA, 460 nt
Filed under: uncultured bacterium
Lineage: Bacteria
Description: partial 16S ribosomal RNA
Rfam family: Bacterial small subunit ribosomal RNA
Source: RNAcentral